GGAAUAUUGGACAAUGGUCGGAAGACUGAUCCAGCCAUGCCGCGUGCAGGAAGACGGUCCUAUGGAUUGUAAACUGCUUUUGUACGGGAGCAAUAAGGGCUACGUGUAGUCCGAUGAGAGUACCGUACGAAUAAGCAUCGGCUAACUCCGUGCCAGCAGCCGCGGUAAUACGGAGGAUGCGAGCGUUAUCCGGAUUUAUUGGGUUUAAAGGGAGCGUAGGCGGGUGCUUAAGCGUGAGGUGAAAGCUCGGAGCUCAACUCCGGAACUGCCUCGCGAACUGGGUGCCUUGAAUGUCCGUGCCGUGGGAGGAAUGUGUGGUGUAGCGGUGAAAUGCAUAGAGAUCACACAGAACACCGAUUGCGAAGGCAUCUCACGAACGGAUGAUUGACGCUGAGGCACGAAAGCGUGGGGAUCAAACA
This 419-nucleotide ribosomal RNA is filed under the name uncultured bacterium. Its description in RNAcentral is "bacterial SSU rRNA". It matches the Rfam family "Bacterial small subunit ribosomal RNA", at positions 358 to 774 of the family's 1533-position model. The record is from RNAcentral.